AACGGAGUUAUUACCCAAAUGAAAUUUUCGAUUAAAGGGAAGUAAGUACUUAAAUGGCGGACGGGAUGAGUAAACGCGUGGGGAACCUUCCCUUACAGAGGGGGAUAACUUUUGGAAACCAACCCUAAUACCGCAUAACCUCUAAGCAUCGCAUGGUGCAAAGAGGAAAGGAGUUAAUUCCGCUGUAAGAUGCCCCCGCGUCCGAUUAGAUAGGUGGUGGGGUAAUGGCCUACCAAGUCGACGAUCGGUAGCCGGACUGAGAGGUUGAACGGCCACAUUGGGACUGAGACACGGCCCAAACUCCUACGGGAGGCAGCAGUGGGGGAUAUUGCACAAUGGGGGAAACCCUGAUGCAGCAACGCCGCGUGAGGGAAGAAGGUUUUCGGAUUGUAAACCUCUGUUCUCGGUGAAGAAAAAUGACGGUAGCCGAGGAGGAAGCUCCGGCUAACUACGUGCCAGCAGCCGCGGUAAUACGUAGGGAGCAAGCGUUGUCCGGAUUUACUGGGUGUAAAGGGUGCGUAGGCGGCUUAGCAAGUCAGACGUGAAAUACAGAGGCUUAACCUCUGAACUGCGUUUGAAACUGUUGGGCUUGAGUGAAGCAGAGGUAGGCGGAAUUCCCGGUGUAGCGGUGAAAUGCGUAGAGAUCGGGAGGAACACCAGUGGCGAAGGCGGCCUACUGGGCUUUAACUGACGCUGAGGCACGAAAGCGUGGGUAGCAAACAGGAUUAGAUACCCUGGUAGUCCACGCCGUAAACGAUGAUUACUAGGUGUGUGGGGAUUGACCCCCUACGUGCCGGAGUUAACACAAUAA
This 811-nucleotide ribosomal RNA is filed under the name uncultured bacterium. Its description in RNAcentral is "bacterial SSU rRNA". It matches the Rfam family "Bacterial small subunit ribosomal RNA", at positions 61 to 863 of the family's 1533-position model. The record is from RNAcentral.